GACGAACGCUGGCGGCAUGCCUAACACAUGCAAGUCGAACGGGACCUUCCGGUCUAGUGGCGCACGGGUACGUACCACCUGGGAAGCUGCCCGUAGGUUCGGUAUCACUCCCCGAAAGAGAUGCUAAUACCGGUUAGUGUCUUAGGACCAAAGAUUUCUCGCCGUGGGAUGGGCCCGCGUUGGUUUCGCUGGUUGGUAGGGUAAAAGCAUACUAAGGCGACGUUCCUUAGCUGGUCUGGGAGGAGGAUCAGCCACACUGGGGAUGAGACACGGACCAGACUCGGACGCGAGGGAGGAGAGUGGAGUAUAGUAGACGGGGGGAAAGCCUGAUCCAGCAGUGCCGCGUGAGUGAGGAAUGCCUUAGGGUUGUAAAGCUCUUUUACCCGGGAUGAUAAUGACAGUACCGGGAGAAUAAGCUCCGGCUAACUCCGUG
Molecule: ribosomal RNA, 433 nt
Filed under: uncultured bacterium
Lineage: Bacteria
Description: partial 16S ribosomal RNA
Rfam family: Bacterial small subunit ribosomal RNA
Source: RNAcentral